GUUUGCUCUUGCUGUUUUGCAGUGAGCCAUGAAGAGUAGCUGUACCAUGCCACCCUGCCUUGGAGUCAGCUGAGCAUAGACUGAAACCUCCAGAAUUCUAAAGUGAAGCACCCAGCUGUGCACAGCCGUGAUGUAACAGUGACUGAUUUCUGCUUCCCACCCUCUCUGGCACCACAGAUGUGGACCUGGUACUGCACAAGCCCCCCUCCAGAAGCAGAGACCUACCCACUGAGAGUUGGUAAAUGAUGAAUACCACUUCCUUGGCUCAGAGCAGGACUGAGCCUCCUUUUCACAGAGCAGUGACUGAGUUACAAACACUUCACUGUUCUGCCUUUCCCUCUUUCCAGCUCCCAUUUCUCAGCCUCUCGCACAUGGCAGACAAUUGACAACCCCAGGCCUAAGCCUCCUACUCUUGUUCCCUGAAUGGCUUCCUAAAAUAAUUACCUACAUGCAAA
Long non-coding RNA from Cavia porcellus (domestic guinea pig), 455 nucleotides. RefSeq lists it as uncharacterized. The record is from RefSeq and is a predicted model, not a curated record. Lineage: Eukaryota; Metazoa; Chordata; Mammalia; Rodentia; Caviidae. The transcript has 2 exons.